AUGGCCCUAUUCCGGCUGCAGCUCGGCCUUCGUACCGCCUACUCCGGCUUCAGCUCGGUGUGGCUUCUCCAACUUCAUCUGGAUGGUGAUGUACCGACAACCGUACCGACAACCAGGGACUGCGGCGAUGGGGGGUCUCGUAGGUGUCUUGGCCUUGUGGGUCUUGGGGACUCACUUGAUGUACAUGCAGGAUUACUGGAGGACCUGGCCCAGAGAGCUGCGUGACUUCUUUUUCCUGGGUGAUCUCUUCUCCAAAGUCUCCGUUUUUGCCUUCUGUACCUCCUUGACAUUAGCCAUCACCCAGCACCAGAGUCUCAAAGACAUCCAACAGCUCCUACCUCUCUUGUGUUGGGAGUUUCAUUUCUUUCAAAUGGGCCUUUCUACUCACCACUACUGGGCUGACUUUGCCGACAUUGGCAUCCUCAGUGAAUGA
Molecule: RNA transcript, 433 nt
Organism: Mastomys coucha (southern multimammate mouse)
Lineage: Eukaryota; Metazoa; Chordata; Mammalia; Rodentia; Muridae
Gene name: heme transporter HRG1-like
Exons: 2
Source: RefSeq, a predicted model, not a curated record